UACGGCGGAUGCGAGCGUUAUCCGGAUUUAUUGGGUUUAAAGGGUGCGCAGGCGGUCUGUUAAGUCAGCGGUCAAAGCCCGGGGCUCAACCCCGUCCGGCCGUUGAAACUGGGGGCCUUGAGUGGGCGAGAAGAAGGCGGAAUGCGUGGUGUAGCGGUGAAAUGCAUAGAUAUCACGCAGAACCCCGAUUGCGAAGGCAUCUCACGAAUCCGCGAUUGACGCUGAAGCACGAAAGCGUGGGUAUCGAACAGG
RNAcentral lists this ribosomal RNA (252 nucleotides) under uncultured Bacteroidales bacterium. RNAcentral describes it as "partial 16S ribosomal RNA". It matches the Rfam family "Bacterial small subunit ribosomal RNA", at positions 524 to 776 of the family's 1533-position model. Lineage: Bacteria; Pseudomonadati; Bacteroidota; Bacteroidia; Bacteroidales. The record is from RNAcentral.